This 89-nucleotide transfer RNA is filed under the name Streptomyces smaragdinus. RNAcentral's name for it is "Streptomyces sp. RB5 tRNA-Arg". The record is from RNAcentral. Lineage: Bacteria; Bacillati; Actinomycetota; Actinomycetes; Kitasatosporales; Streptomycetaceae.
GGGCGCCUCCCCCGGUGGGGGGAGGCGCCCUUCUGUGGCGCGACGGAGGCUUACGCCUCCUUGCUCAGGUUCGGGCCCGAGCCGCCCGC